UAGGGAAUCUUCCACAAUGGACGAAAGUCUGAUGGAGCAACGCCGCGUGAGUGAAGAAGGGUUUCGGCUCGUAAAGCUCUGUUGGUAGUGAAGAAAGAUAGAGGUAGUAACUGGCCUUUAUUUGACGGUAAUUACUUAGAAAGUCACGGCUAACUACGUGCCAGCAGCCGCGGUAAUACGUAGGUGGCAAGCGUUGUCCGGAUUUAUUGGGUUUAAAGGGUGCGCAGGCGGCGCGAAAAGUCAGCGGUCAAAGUUCCGGGCUCAACCCGGUGACGCCGUUGAAACUUUCGGGCUGGAGUUCGUGCGAGGGAGGCGGAAUGCGUUGUGUAGCGGUGAAAUGCAUAGAUAUGACGCAGAACCCCGAUUGCGAAGGCAGCUUUCCAGCACGCGACUGACGC
Molecule: ribosomal RNA, 398 nt
Filed under: uncultured Lactobacillus sp.
Lineage: Bacteria; Bacillati; Bacillota; Bacilli; Lactobacillales; Lactobacillaceae
Description: bacterial SSU rRNA
Rfam family: Bacterial small subunit ribosomal RNA
Source: RNAcentral